This is a long non-coding RNA of Saccostrea cuccullata (small rock oyster), 388 nucleotides long. RefSeq lists it as uncharacterized. NCBI's taxonomy places the organism in Eukaryota, Metazoa, Mollusca, Bivalvia, Ostreida, Ostreidae. The record is from RefSeq and is a predicted model, not a curated record. The transcript is spliced from 3 exons.
AUCUGUGAUCCACUCCCACGAUUUUACUCUGAGGCAUUAGAUAGGGAUUGGCACACUGGUCAGUUUCAGUGUCAUGAUAACCUAUUAUGCAAUUUUCCUGCUGGGCAGCGCGUUACAGAGUAUAGUGGUUUGCAGCUUAUCUAGGCCAAAUUUUGAAUUCUGGUAAACAAGAUGUGCGCGCUUACUCCGUGCCGAUUUGAAUGAGAAGACUUUGCACCAUAAAACCACAAUAAUAACCUCGGGAUUUAUUAACUUUGAAUGCAUGGUGUUGAUUGCAUCAUCCGUAUUUUCAAAUUCCCACAUUCAAAAGACCCGCCUUUGGUGAAGGCAAAGGUGUUGUGCUAUUCUUUCCGAGGGGCGGAUUCCUUAUCAGCCUUUUCAGUGUAUG